This 433-nucleotide ribosomal RNA is filed under the name uncultured bacterium. RNAcentral describes it as "partial 16S ribosomal RNA". It matches the Rfam family "Bacterial small subunit ribosomal RNA", at positions 29 to 507 of the family's 1533-position model. The record is from RNAcentral.
AGCGAACGCUGGCGGCAGGCCUAACACAUGCAAGUCGAACGAACUCUUCGGAGUUAGUGGCGGACGGGUGAGUAACACGUGGGAACGUGCCUUUUGGUUCGGAAUAACUCAGGGAAACUUGUGCUAAUACCGAAUGUGCCCUUCGGGGGAAAGAUUUAUCGCCAUUAGAGCGGCCCGCGUCUGAUUAGCUAGUUGGUGAGGUAACGGCUCACCAAGGCGACGAUCAGUAGCUGGUCUGAGAGGAUGACCAGCCACACUGGGACUGAGACACGGCCCAGACUCCUACGGGAGGCAGCAGUGGGGAAUCUUGCGCAAUGGGCGAAAGCCUUACGCAGCCAUGCCGCGUGAAUGAUGAAGGUCUUAGGAUUGUAAAAUUCUUUCACCGGGGACGAUAAUGACGGUACCCGGAGAAGAAGCCCCGGCUAACUUCGUG